This 370-nucleotide ribosomal RNA is filed under the name Candidatus Poribacteria bacterium. Its description in RNAcentral is "bacterial SSU rRNA". It matches the Rfam family "Bacterial small subunit ribosomal RNA", at positions 1 to 368 of the family's 1533-position model. Lineage: Bacteria; Candidatus Poribacteria. The record is from RNAcentral.
UUUUUGGAGAGUAUGAUACCGGCUCAGGACGAACGCUGGCGGCGUGGAUUAGGCAUGCAAGUCGAACGAGAAUCACGGCUUCGGCUGUGAGGAAAGUGGCGAAAGGGUGAGUAACGCGUAGGUAAUUUACCUUUGAGUUAAGAAUAACAUACCGAAAGGGAUGCUAAUACUGAAUACGAUCGAAGUUGCUUCGGCAUAUUCGAUGAAAGGCGUAAGCCACUCAAAGAUAAGCCUGCGUCCUAUUAGCUAGUUGGUGAGGUAACAGCUCACCAAGGCAACGAUGGGUAGCUGGUCUGAGAGGAUGGUCAGCCACAUUGGGACUGAGACACUGCCCAAACUCCUACGGGAGGCUGCAGUCGAGAAUAUUUCG